UCGGAUAUGGUGUAACGACUAACAUUGCCGCCUUUCAUUUGCAAAUGUGCUUCAUCUUUCGCGGCAGCUCUGGGUUCGAUUCCCCGCAUCUGAA
Molecule: non-coding RNA, 94 nt
Organism: Armillaria borealis
Lineage: Eukaryota; Fungi; Basidiomycota; Agaricomycetes; Agaricales; Physalacriaceae
Source: the annotation of a GenBank genome assembly